This 424-nucleotide ribosomal RNA is filed under the name uncultured bacterium. RNAcentral's name for it is "bacterial SSU rRNA". It matches the Rfam family "Bacterial small subunit ribosomal RNA", at positions 358 to 773 of the family's 1533-position model. The record is from RNAcentral.
GGAAUUGUUAGCAAUGGGCGCAAGCCUGACGACGCAACGCCGCGUGGAGGAUGAAGGUCUUCGGAUUGUAAACUCCUGUUGAUCGGAACGAACUCCUCCGGGGCCAAUACCCCCGGAGACUGACGGUACCGGUUGAGGAAGCCCCGGCUAACCCUGUGCCAGACGCCGCGGUAAUACAGAGGGGGCAAGCGUUGUUCGGAAUUACUGGGCGUAAAGGGCGCGUAGGCGGCCGGCUGAGUCAGACGUGAAAUCCCCAGGCUCAACCUGGGAAUUGCGUCUGAUACUGGCUGGCUGGAGUUCGGGAGAGGGAAGUGGAAUUCCAGGUGUAGCGGUGAAAUGCGUAGAUAUCUGGAGGAACACCGGUGGCGAAGGCGGCUUCCUGGACCGACACUGACGCUGAGGCGCGAAAGCCAGGGGAGCAAAC